ACGCUGGCGGCGUGCCUAACACAUGCAAGUCGAACGGGGUGAUUUCCUUCGGGGAAUCACUUAGUGGCGAACGGGUGAGUAACGCGUGAGGAACCUGCCUUUCAGUGGGGGACAACAGUUGGAAACGACUGCUAAUACCGCAUAAUGUAGCGAGACCGCAUGAUCUUGCUACCAAAGCUUUAUGUGCUGAAGGAUGGGCCUGCGUCUGAUUAGCUAGUUGGUGGGGUAACGGCCCACCAAGGCGACGAUCAGUAGCCGGUCUGAGAGGAUGAACGGCCACACUGGGACUGAGACACGGCCCAAACUCCUACGGGAGGCAGCAGUGGGGAAUCUUCCGCAAUGGGCGCAAGCCUGACGGAGCAACGCCGCGUGAGUGAAGAAGGUUUUCGGAUCGUAAAGCUCUGUUGAGAGGGACGAGAGAUAUAAUCAGGAAAUGGGUUAUAGAGGACGGUACCUUUCGAGGAAGCCACGGCUAACUACGUG
RNAcentral lists this ribosomal RNA (483 nucleotides) under uncultured bacterium. RNAcentral describes it as "bacterial SSU rRNA". It matches the Rfam family "Bacterial small subunit ribosomal RNA", at positions 33 to 507 of the family's 1533-position model. The record is from RNAcentral.